UCUUAGCUUGCUAAGGCCGAUGGCGACCGGCGCACGGGUGAGUAACGCGUAUCCCCCUUGACUUACACUCUUGGACAGCCUUCUGAAAGGGAGAUUAAUACAAGAUGUUAUCAUGAGUAAGCAUUUUCGCAUGAUUAAAGGUUUACCGGUGUAAGAUGGGGAUGCGUUCCAUUAGAUAGUAGGCGGGGUAACGGCCCACCUAGUCUUCGAUGGAUAGGGGUUCUGAGAGGAAGGUCCCCCACAUUGGAACUGAGACACGGUCCAAACUCCUACGGGAGGCAGCAGUGAGGAAUAUUGGUCAAUGGACGAGAGUCUGAACCAGCCAAGUAGCGUGAAGGAUGAAGGUUCUAUGGAUUGUAAACUUCUUUUAUACGGGAAUAAACGGAUCCACGUGUGGAUUUUUGCAUGUACCGUAUGAAUAAGGAUCGGCUAACUCCGUGCCAGCAGCCGCGGUAAUACGGAGGAUCCGAGCGUUAUCCGGAUUUAUUGGGUUUAAAGGGAGCGUAGAUGGGUUGUUAAGUCAGUUGUGAAAGUUUGCGGCUCAACCGUAAAAUUGCAAUUGAUACUGGCAGUCUUGAGUACAGUUGAGGUAGGCGGAAUUCGUGGUGUAGCGGUGAAAUGCUUAGAUAUCACGAAGAACUCCGAUUG
RNAcentral lists this ribosomal RNA (648 nucleotides) under uncultured Bacteroides sp. Its description in RNAcentral is "bacterial SSU rRNA". It matches the Rfam family "Bacterial small subunit ribosomal RNA", at positions 73 to 715 of the family's 1533-position model. Lineage: Bacteria; Pseudomonadati; Bacteroidota; Bacteroidia; Bacteroidales; Bacteroidaceae. The record is from RNAcentral.